CAGUAGCCACGGUAAUACGAGGGGUGCAAGCGUUAUUCGGAUUGAUUGGGUGUAAAGGGUGUGCAGACGGCUUAUUAAGUCACUUGUUAAAUUCUUCGGCCUAACUGAAGGUCUGCAAGUGAUACUGAUGAGCUAGAGGGUGGAAGAGAGAAGUGGAAUUCUCGGAGUAGCGGUAAAAUGCGUAGAUCUCGAGAGGAACACCAAUGGCGAAGGCAGCUUCUUGGUCCAUUCCAGACGUUCAUACACGAAAGCGUGGGGAGCAAACAGGAUUAGAUACCCCCGUAGUCCCUGUCUCUUAUAC
Molecule: ribosomal RNA, 301 nt
Filed under: uncultured bacterium
Lineage: Bacteria
Description: partial 16S ribosomal RNA
Rfam family: Bacterial small subunit ribosomal RNA
Source: RNAcentral